RNAcentral lists this long non-coding RNA (14378 nucleotides) under Phoenix dactylifera (date palm). Its description in RNAcentral is "long non-coding RNA (PDAC_LNC003471)". Lineage: Eukaryota; Viridiplantae; Streptophyta; Magnoliopsida; Arecales; Arecaceae. The record is from RNAcentral.
AGGUUCGCUCCCUUUUUCCCUAUCUCGUAAAGAUCUAUUUUUUGCGAUGAAGUUCUUCUUGAAUCGGAUCGGUGUCUAUUUGGCUUUGAUCUGUGUCUUCCUGUUUGAGAUCUUUGGAGCUAGAUUUCUUAAUUCCGUUAUUGUUCCACGAUUGCUGGGUUCUGGCCUUCUAGGCUAGGGUUUUGGUCUCAGGUUCUUUAUUCGUGAAGGAAAGUUGCGAUCUUGGAAUGAUAUGGGCGGAAUCGAGGGAUCGAUCGGUAUUAGAUGGUGUUCGAUGUGUGAUCUGGUUGCGUCGUGACGGACAGUGUGCGGGUACGGGUCGGCUGCAUUGCAUGUUUGAUUUCAUGGGAUUUUGAAUGGGAAUUCCGUUGGAGACACGAGGUUCAUGGGGGUUAAUCGUGUUCCCUUGGGUCUUGAAUCUUGUGGCGAGUCCUUUCUUUUCGUCGCUAUAGUUGAUUCUAGUAAUAGUAGUGCCGUGGGUUGCAGACGUGCAUGAGGAAGGAAGAGAAAGAUGGAAACUAAAUAUGUGUCUUGCUAUCAAAAUAUCAUGGGUUUUAAGAAAUAGUUUUGCCUUGAUGUAUGUAGAGAAAGGUGUGAGUCUCGCUAUGUGGGUUGUUGUUUGUAGUCAAAUAUGGUUUUUAGGGUUAAGAAAUGUCCAUGAGUAGAAUAUGUGCAUUCUUAUAAUGGAACAUGGUUUUUAAGGCAAACGAUGUCCACUCUUUCUGUUCCUAUUGCUAAUUUAAUUGUAGUUACCAUAUUAUUUUGGCUGACAAGUGUGAUAUCUGGUUGCUAUUUUUGAUGUUUUUGUUAUUAAAUAGUGCAUUCAUCAUGGCUACAUUGUUUUAGCUCCCAUUUAUGGUCUUUAGUAGCCAUUUUAUUUGAGUCAUCGAAGGCUUAGAAGGCAUCACUGGAUGUUCUAUCAGAGAGAAUUUUUUAAUGGCAUUCUGUUGCAGAAAGGGGCUUCUUUUAAGGAAUGCUAACAUCUCGAAAAUCCAAUGUGGCAACCAUGGAGAUAUGGGAAAGGACCAGUUUAUCGACUGGGACAAAAUUUUUUGAUGUUGUUCCAGCAAAUAUCAUAUGUAUGUAAAGGUAUGAUAAGGCUAUACGACAAUAACACAACUUCUCUUGCUUUGGGUUAUGUGGUUGCUCCAUAUGGAGCAAAACACAGGAAAGGUCACAAAGUCCUUGUAAAGGACAAAGCGGGCUGGUUAACUUUUACCAAUCACGACGUAUUAAUAACAUUGGCAACAUGUGUAUUAACAUUUGGCCACUAGAAUAGUGAGACAUGGCAAGUUUAGAAUUAAAGAGCAUGCUUGUCUUGUUGGAAGAUUUUUGAUUCUAGACUUGGCAUUUCGUUGCUAUUUUAGAUGUUAUAGUUAAUGCAAUAUUGUUGGGGAUUGGGCGAGUCGCAUUCGGGGAACUAAUGGUCUCCAAAGAGCAAAUCGUUUCAGAGCUAGCACGAGUUUAUCUUGUUCGGUGAAGAAAUGAACCAAACUAAGGCUAGGCUUAGCUUGGUCGAGAUUGGCUCAAAUUAGCUCAAAAUACAUACAUACAUUGGCAACAUGUGUAUUAAUAUUUGGCCGCUAGAGUAGUGAGAUAUGGCAAGUUUAGAAUUAAAGAGCAUGCUUGUCUUGUUGAAAGAUUUUGAGUCUAGACCUGGCAUUUGGUUGCCAUUUUAGAUGUUAUCAUUAAUGCAAUAUUGUUUGGAAUUGGUGAGUGGCACUAGGGAGACUAGUGGCCUCAAACGAGCAAAUUGUUUCAGAGCUAGCAUGAGUUUAUCGUGCUCAGUCAAGAAAUGAGCCAAACUAGAGCUAGGCUUAGUUUGCUCUGUUAUUUUAAUUAUCUUGUAUAAAUAUUUUUAUAAUUAUUUAUUAUAAACUAGUAUAGAUUAUAUAAAACAGAAAUAUAGAAUCUAUUCCAACUAUAUAUCAAAAUAUAAUUGGAGUACUUUUUUAAACCAUAGAAUUUUAAGGCUCAAAUGAUUUUAAACUCUCACUAGAUCUCUUAAACAAGCCAUUCAUGAACAACUCGAUAUUGGCCUGAAAUUAAAUGAGCAAGCUUGAGCUUGGCUCAAUUAUUAAACAAACGAAGCUAGAGCAAGGCUUGGCUUGGCUCAUUUUCAGCUUGUUUCCACCCCUAAGUGGAAGUUUACAAAUACCUGUUGGAAAGAUGGAAUAACUGAACUUUAAAAAGUUGAUUUAUUACUUGGAGUGGUAGCCAGUUGGCAUGGCUAUCCCCGAGCAUCCACUAAAUUAGUGAGAUAUGACAACCUUAGUUAGCAAGCGUCUGUUCGCUCAAAAGUUUUCAAGUGUGGAGUUGGUAGUUUUGCGAGGUUUCAUGUCAUCAUUUAUACCACUGUCAGAUCACAUGCAUGACGUCACUCUUUGCUAUUACAAACUUUGGAAGAUUGGUAUCCUUGAUCAUGUUGCUCCAUAUUCAAAAACCACAGCAAGGAAGAUGCAUCGUCAACUUAUUACAUAACCUAAUCUUAUGAUUUACAUCUGUCAUUUCAUUCAUUGGAGCAACAUCAAAUAUUUGUUGUAGCUGACAGGCUAAUGCUAUCCAUGCGUCCCUUUUUGCACUGUUGGAAUUUAAGUACCUUUCUUUUCCUUAAAGUUGCUAGAUAGAUGCAUAUAAUUGAACUAUAUGCUAAGGUUUUAAUGGAGUUAAAUAGCUGGGUUUCCACUAGACUUGUGAGACAUGGCAUGCUUGGGGAUGAAGUAUAUGUUAGUCCCCUUGCUUUUGACUAGCCAAUGAUCUGAGAUAAACUUGGUUGCGUAUCCAGUUGUUUAGCCAUAUCCUAUAUGAAUAUCCCAUGUUCUUGGUUUAAAGAAUCUAUAUAUCCUUAGACUAGCUGUGGCCCUAUUUGAUACAUUGGAGUACUGACAUGUCUGUGUUCAGCACUAUACAUGCCGUAUGCUUUGUGUACAUACCCAUUUAGAUCUCUAGUUAAAAUUUCUUCGGUAUAUGUUGAGAAAAUCAUUCAGGCACUUGGCAGACAUGUCUUGCUGUUAAUUAUAAAUUUAUGUGACCUUAUUUCUAAUUGCAUCCUGAAUCUUUAACAUGAAUAACAAUAUUUUGAACCUUGUAAUUCCAUUUUCUUUCUUGAUAAAUAUGGAAGAGAUGUUCCGAUUGAUACCAGUUUCAAAGAAUUUUAAUAAACUAAACAAAAAUUAAUACUUAUCAUAUGUAAUAUAAUUGAGUAUUCAGUUGUGAUAUUCAGCUUCAUCUGUAUCAUAUGCUUUUCUCCCCCAAGUUUUUCCUUAUGGGCCUGUUUGUUUUGUCUCAUCAUGGUAUUUCCUACUCUCAUAUUUAUAUUUCAUUUUGAUCUUCAUACGUGUCAUUUGUUUUUUUUAUAGAAGUAUAUUUGUGUUCAUCGUCUACUCAUGGCAGCAGGAUUCAUGAACGAUGUCAAUAUUUAUUGUCCUGAUUUAUCUAUGGAAACAAAUCAUGCCUGAUCAAAUACGUGCAAUAUAAUUCUUGAAUUGUUUCCUUAGGUGUCAUUUUCUAUAUGGAAAAAGUGUAACAGUAUCAGAGCGACAAGUCUUAAUUUAUGCAGAGCUAUUUAUCAUCACCCUUUUGCAUCCUAUUUGUUUGUGGUUUAUUACAUUUAACUUGCAAUAGCGUUUCAUGGUUUUAACUGGCAAUGUUUUGGAAUGCCGUCCUCAAAUGGUUUGGUAGCAAAAUUUGGGAAUACAGUCUUCAUCUCUUAGGAAAGUGUUUGGAACUUUCUGCAUUGUUUCUGUCUUAUCUUUCCCUCCCUUUCUCACUUUUUUGGACAUGUCUAUAUGGCUAUGAUGUCAUUAGGAUUAGAUAUUGUCUGAAAUUAACGUAAUUGAAAGGGUCUGUUUUUGGCAAUUAAAAUGGUGAUGGCAAUAGAAUUUUGAAAGUGGUUGAUUUUCCUUCUGUUUUUGGUGAGGGUCAAAUCCUUUGUUGGGGAAAAUCCUCAUGCUUUUUUCCUUCUUCUAGUUGGUGUCCUUGAAAUACUGGGCAUGCAUGCAACCUAAUUUUAGUGGGGUAGCAAUUUUCUUUCCUAAUAGGAACACUUCAACUGUCCCUAAAAUAUCUGCAAUUUAAUAUAUCAACUUUGUUGAACUGGACCGAGCCUUAAACAUGGCUAAGAUGGGCCUCUAUUGUUGCUUUAUCUGAAUCAGUGUGUUUUCACCUUUCAGUUUGCAAGAUUAGCACUAGAAGUCUUGUUAUUAUAUGUUACUUUGGUGGAAAAACUAAAGAAUAAUUCAAGAUAAAACUGGAGUACAUUUUGAAUUUUUCCUUCGACAGAGGAGCAGAUACAGGCAAGACACUUAUAACAUAUUCCUUCUUACCAGUUUGCUUUUAUUACUGUCUCUUCUGGAUCUCUACCUCUCUGAACAUUUGCGAUGUUUACUUGAUGUAAAUUCUAAUAAUGCAUAGUUCAUGGAACAGUCUAACUUCAUUAUAUUGCCAAAUUAUGAUGCUUACCAUCUGAUAGAACAUCAAAGUUUAGGUGCUGUUGUCUGAUGUUUCAUCACUAGUUGGUUGUGUAUUUCACCAUUUCAUCAUUUUAUCUCUUUGUUAUUGUUGUUUUUUUUGUCUAUUCUGCACUUCUUCCUUAUACAGUUAAAUCAGGACAUAGUAAGCAGCACAAUGUAUCAAUUAUUUUUAGAAGGGUUCAAUUUUAUAUAAUUAAAUAUAUUUUUUUAUUUUAUUUGUUUUUAUAAAGUUUCAAUUUUAUGCAGUUAAAAAUGUUUUUUUUUUCAGUUUUCAUUUUUUUUGUCUGAGUUUAUUUCUUCUGAAUUAAUAGAUGCUGAAUGCUGUGCUUAUUUUUCCAGAGUCACCUUGCUCACUGUCUUCUCUGCAAUGAGCAUUACCUGGCUGUACCCUUUUGAGAAGUUGUAAAUUACUGCAAAUAAGCAGGAUUCGUGGAAACAAGUCUGUUGAAAAGAAUUACUCAGUGGUUGCUGUUCACUUUGGUGAAGAAAAAUGGAAGCGAGGAACGAAAAGGUGUUGGAUAAAGGUGGAAGAAUUUUAGGCGAUCUAAAGAGGAAGCGAGAUUCUGCUGCAUAUUUAACUGAUUCUGGCCAUGCUUUGGUAUCGCACCCGCCUAUUACAGAUCAAUCCUGCGGCAGGUGCUGUAAUGUGAGAGAGUGUAAAUCUGUCUUCAGCUGUCGUUCGGCGACACAGGUUUGUCAAAAGUAUCACAACUUUAUGAGGAGUGGGUUGCCACAGCGUGUGCUGUCUCACCAGGAUGGUGAAUGGAAAGAUUUUCCUGAGAAUAUCAUCAGUUCAGUUUGUGAAGAUUUCCGGUUAAAGAGGGCAAUUACUGAAACAGCGUUUCAGGACCAGCAAAUAUUGUUGGACUUUGUGCACAUGGUUUGUGUAGACUUGAAAACAGGCCUUCAGAAGCCUGUUGCUUGGAUUGAUGAACAUGGUAAAUGCUUUUUUCCAGAAUUGCAUUCUGAAUUUUAUGCAUCAAAUGGAUGCCAUCAUUCUAGCAAAGGGAAACAUGUCCAUAUGAGUUGUGAGCCAAAUGGGAGACAUGAACCACAUGCGCGUAGUGAGAUUUCUGUGAGUGCAGCUGAAAGCUCAAACUCAGGACCUGAUGAUGAGGUAAUGUCUAACGUGAAGAGGGUUAAGAGUGAAAGGAAUUUUGCCAGUAACCAGAAUAUGUAUGCCGAGGUCAAUGAAACAGUUGCAGAAAAUGAGCUGUAUUCUUUUGUCCCUCGAAAUGUCUCUGGUCUUGAAACUUCUCAGGGAAAGUUGGUCAAACCUGUUGGUGCUCCUCGUGUCAAAAAUGCUGUACAACAUAUGUUACUCCAGGGAUUGGGCCCCUUCAUUGAUGCACAGGACAUUGUUGGUAUCUUUAGAGCCCCUUUCAAAGAUAAUUCAGGGCAGAUUCCCUAUAAUCUUUUCCUAAAGCAGGUUGAGAUAACUAAGAACUUCCGUGGCAAUGCAAAUCUCCGUUAUGCUUGGCUUGCUUCUUCCAGGGAUGCCGUAGAAGACAUGAUGUUGCAGGGUGUUAUGAGGAUAAAGAAGCCUGUGCAUGGACCUGUGUAUGGCAUUGGCACUCAUCUUGCACCUGUGAAUUGCUCCAAUAUCUGGUGAGGUUUUAUUUUAUCUUCUAUUUUGGCUUUCUUUGUAGGCUAUUUGAAUAUCUUUCAAUUUUUGGUAUGGCUAGAACUGUCAACAUCCAUAAUUUUAACCUCCUAGUUUCCACUAUAUUAUUAGUGAUGUUACUUGAUUGUUUGUGCUGAUAUACUUUUUCAAGAAAUAUGCCUCACUUACAGAUUACUAUCCACAGUGCUAGUUAUUCUGAUGUGGACGAAAAUGGUGUUGUUCAUAUGAUGUUAUGCCGUGUAAUAAUGGGAAAUGUGGAAGUCAUUCACCCUGGAUCAAAACAGUCUCAGCCCAGUAAUGAAAAUUUUGAUAGCGGCGUGGACGAUCUUCAAAAGCCAAAACAUUAUGUUAUAUGGGAUAUGCAUGUGAGUACUCACAUCUAUCCAGAAUAUAUCGUGACUUUUAAAAUGUCUUCCAGAGCCAGAGGUGAUUUCCUUGGAAUUCUCUGUCAAUUAGUGGAUUCAUUCAUGUUUGUUUACUUACAAUUAAAAUUCUGAAAAGCUGUUCCUUUUGAUAUUGUUGCAGAACAUUUGGUUGGUAAAGAAAGUGUAUCUAACACAUCUGCAGUCACAAAUCCUAGUUCGUCUCAUAGCCUAUUUCAGGUGCGUCCAUAUAUUGUUAUUUACAUUAAUGUGAGUGGAUCCACAUGACAUGGAAAUGUAGCACUGUAAUUCAUUUUGAACUGGUAAAACAUUCCAUUUAUAUUAGUAUAUCUAAGUCAGUUGAUUCAUAUAAGCAAUCAGGUUACCUAUGCUUAGUGAUAGAUUUAUCAUUGAUUAUGUGGUUGCAAUGCAAAUGAAAGUUCAUCUUAUAAGGUAUUCCAUAUGUAUGCACAAAUAGCUGAAAAAUAUCAGGAAAAGGAAGUUCAACUGUUUAUUAUCCUAUUUCUUUGAGUGAUCUUCAAAUCCCCAUAAUCAUAAUUGCAAACCAUGUUGCACUCUGCAACCUGAAAUAAUUAAAAUUUGUGAUUGAUUUUAUUCUGUUUUGUGAUUUUCAGGAUAGGAAUCCUCAGCCACCUCCAGCUUUGAGAGAUCAAUCUGAAGCGCCGAUCUUUGGUAGAGCUCCAAGAACUCCCACAUCACCCUGGAUGCCUUUUUCAAUGCUAUUUGCUGCAAUUUCAACUAAAGUGUCUCCACAAGAUAUGGACUCGGUUAAUACUCACUAUGAAGAAUUCAAGGUCUUAAAUUUCUAUCAAUAAACUGCCUUUUUUUUCAUGGUGCUUUGACAUCUUCAAUAACAUAUAUUUCUUUCUUUGUACCAGAAAAGAAAGAUAAGCAGGAUUGACCUGGUUAAAAAGUUGAGGCAUAUAAUUGGUGACAAACUGUUGAUAUCAACAAUAAUGAGACUUCAGCACAAGGUGAGUUUCUCAGUUGAUGUUGUGGCCAAUGAUCAUGAGUUCUUAUCAGAUAGGAAGGUCUUUCUUGAACUUGAGAUCUCAGUGUAGCAGACUUAAAGCUUGCCUGGCAAGCUUCUCGGCAGUUAAUGCUAAAUUAAACUCUGAUGAAGUGGUGACUGGAGCUUAGUUUGUAGUGGCAGUCGUGGACUUUCCCAUGCCUUUCUUAGUUGUCUAGUUAUAAGGGUUUUUGACAUGUUAGUCCUCUUUCUCCAACCCAAUCCCAAAAUGGUCCCUUUUUUCUAAGAAUGCAUGUAGCACCUUUUUUUUUGGAUUAUUAGUAAAAAUAGUCCUUAUACCUCAAGUAAUGAUUGAUUUGGUUGAUUGUCAUCCAUUUGGCAAUGAAUGCAGUCUCUAAUUUUUUUUUUAAUUAAAAUACACACUCUUUAAAGAAAAGAAGAGAAGCAAAUGAAUCGUUCAUGUAAGUAAUUUGUGAUAUAAUAAUAGGAAAACUGAAGCAUGAUCAUUGUUUAAUAGAUGACAAUCAAUCAAAACUGAUAAUUAGUUGAAUAAGAGGGAAUAUUUUGUCCUAAUAAUCAAAAAACAGGUGCUACAUGUAUUCUGAGAAAAAAUUGGAACUGUUUUGGGAUUGGGUUGGAAAAAGAGGGCUGCCCAUGUCAGACUCCCUUAUCAUAAAUGAUUAUGGGCUAGACAAGGCUAAGAUGGGUAGCUUUAUGGAUCAAAUAUCGCCCUGUUGGGGUCAUUGUCUGGUUGGUUUGAAUUCUAAGCAUGUGAUAGUUGCCAUGGGUGGGGCCUAAUGUUGACCUAAUAGACUUAGUUGUCCUUUUAGUGCUUGGUAUCUUGUUCAAUGGACAUGUUUUGAUCUUCAGUGUGUAAAAUUUCUGUCAACUCUCUCUCUCUCUCUCUCUCUCUCUCUNNNNNNNNNNNNNNNNNNNNCUACUCUCUCUCUCUCUCUCUCUCUCUCUCUCUCUCUGAUGUUGCUUUAAUUUUUAGAACUACAUCUUUUGGAAAAUAUGAUGGUCUGUAAUAGUUACCAUUUAGUGUUUGGUACAUUGUAAAAUAGACAUGUUUUGAAUUUUGUGUUGAAACUUUAUGUUAUAUCUCUCUGUUACUGCUCUUAAUUUUUAGAACUUCAUUUUUGUCUGCUUUCCCACGUUUACUACUCAGCAUCUUAUUUGGUGGUAGGUAUCUCCUUUCUUACAACUCCCAAAUCUUUUAGUCCAUAUGCAUACGCUCUCUCUCUCACACGCGCACCCGCUUAAAGCACGUCAUGUCUAUGCUCUCUUUCAUGUGUACAGCUCAUGCUUUGGUCCAAUAUGUCAAACAACAUUUUACAUGUGUUUUGAUUAAGUUCAUUAGGAUGUUGAUUAUUCUUUUUAUUUUAGCAGUUGUUAUGUUUAAAUUUUAGUAAUAGAAGAUUGGUUACUUGUUUUAAGUAGUAAAUACAUACAACUAAAUAAUUUUUUAAGUUUAUCUCCAAGUCAAUAUAUGACAAAUCUCAUUUGAUUUCCAAGUUAGCUUAUCCAUGACCUUUUUUGCCCUUUCCCUCCAAUUUUGCAUCUGUGUCCAAGUUUUCAAACCAUAUAUUUCGUGGUUUUGCUGGUGCAAGCUUAGGAAUUAUAGACCGAUGAUUUUAGUCCAGCCUAAUUUUAAAUGAAACUGGCUGAGCCUAAUGAAAAGCUGCAAGAGCUUGAGAGUGCAAAGGAAAAUCCUAAAGGGUCCAGCUUGAGUCAGUUUGAACUCGUCUCAAGAUUUAUGCCUGAGCUGAGCCAGGUUAAGCUUUUUUUUUAAUAGUCUUUUAGAGUUUGUUUUAGACUUGCGCAUGACUUUUUCUUUGUAUAAAAUAUUUAUAGCAGGAUGACAGAGUCAUUAUGAGCUGUUACAACUUAUCCUAUGUUGAUGUAUUCGAAAUUUUACCAUGCAGCAUUAACGACUUGAAUGGCAGGUUUGCUUGGAUGCCUUGAGAAUAUGUUGGUCAAAAGUUGUAUAUUCCCAUGCACCAUGAUGCUGGCUGGUUAGUCUGAUGAUUUUAGUUAGUCAUCUUGAAUCCGGUUUGGCAUAGACUUAAUAUGGGACGGAAUCUAAGCUAACUGGCUGACGCGUAUACCUUCGACGACAUUGCCCAAACCAGUGUCUCUAUUGUGUCUUUGUUAGCCCUCCUUCCAAACAAGUAUUGUCUUUAAGCAUUCCAGUUAUGCCAGCUGGUAGGGCUUGAUUACAUAGAAAACCGUCUUUAUUGCCUUCCACUCUUUCCUAAUUGGUUAUGUUGAAGUGUCAGGUUAUCCAUGUAGCAAGUUGAACUAUUUGUAGGUCAUUCAGCGAAACAAGCUAAAGUUUGAGGUGGAAUCUUUAGACUCCUUGGCAGCUGCUUUUUCUAGCCACCAGUGGCUUUCUUUCCUUGAAAGUUUCCUUGCACCAUCUCUGCUUGCAACUAUUUAACUCAAAUCUGGUAGCGUUUAAGGUUUCAUGCUGGCUAUUACGUAAAUUAGACCGUCCAGUGUGUCUAGGAAAUGCAAUAAUGUGCUCUACACUGCAACAUUGAGAAACUUCGUAGUGUAUGUCUGUCUCUCUCUCUCUCUCUCUCUCUCGCUCUGUUUGUUUAUAGGGUAAGUUGAAGAUGGGGGAGAAGAUCAUCCAUUUUCGCUUGUGCCCUUCUCUGUCAAUUAGUUGCUGUAUCGGGCUUGAUUCUCCAAGUGCAACAGGACGUGCUUGGUUGGAUGGAGAAAUCAACAUCUCAAGUUACAUAUCUACUUAUGCAGGCAUUAUUGAUUAUAACUUGUAAAUAUUUGCUUUACUUUGCAGUUACCACCAAUGGCGAGACGUGAACCACCAAGAUCCUGGGCUGGGAGGCUACAAAUUAAGCCUUGAUCCGGUAAAAGCAUCUCUACUUCCAAUAAAUACGGUAGUUGGCUGAUGUAACUUGGGCUAUUUCAUGUAGGGCUUAGGUUUGCAUGUUCGUAUUGUUGGUUCAUGACAGGAAAGAAAAACUAGGCUAUUUAGAUUGUGUUGGGAACGAUGGCAGCUGUACUCCUUGUCUUUCGUCAUGGUCUCUUUGUUGUUGAUAUCGGGCAAAGGCUUGAUCUUUGUACGUUUUGCUGCGUGAAAAGUGAUGUAAUUAAAUGCUUGGCUACCAUGGUACGUUUCUUAGUGAAAUCACCAAGGAGUUCUGAUUCCCACCUUGAUCUUUAACAUUUGGCUGUCACGCCAAUUCAUUUACGCCCUUCUUCACGUUAUGCGAGGAUGUAAAACCAAUCCAAAGCUGGCCGCGUAUAGAAAAAUUUGCUACAGGAAGGUGUAAUUGUGGCAGCCCUCAGGAGAACCGGUUGCAAAAACCUACCUUCGGCGGCUGUAUCUGUUGGCGAAACCACCCGACUGCCUAUCUCCUUAUUCUGUUCAAACAGCGGCACGAUCUUUCGGUCUUAGAACGUCGACCGUAGUCUUAUUGCGCCCGUCGUACUUGUAAGCCACUACCCAGCGAUUCCAAUUUUUUUUUUUUUAAAGGGCUGCAGCAUAAGCCUCCUCUCCCUCCCUCACUCUCUCUCCUUUAUGAAGAUCUCUCAGAAAUUGCAAAGUUUCUCUCUCUAAAAUCCUUUAGAGAGAGAAGCCAGUUUAGUUAUGGUAUAUGUAUGUAUAUAUAUGUUUUGCUUUUAUUAAAUGUUUUUGUUAAAUAGAGGAGUGUUAUUACAAAAAAGAAAGAAAGGAGAAGGAACAAAGAGUGAAACAAUUUUGGCACGGUGAUUUUUUUUCGGUCAAAAUGAAUAUAAGAAUGUCGAACAAGAAGAGCAUUAAUAUAUGUUCAAAUCCACCAUAUUGCUGCAAAUUUAUACUGCAGGUAUCGGCAACAUCGAAGCGGUAAUACCCCCUCCCCCACCAAAUAUAAGAAGCACCGGCGCAGAUAUACGGCAAAGCUCUUCGGCUAGUGGGGUAAGAUGCUUGCAUGGCGAUGGCGCAAAGCCUUUCCAUCCUGAUGUAUCCUCUCUUCAUAGUCCUUGACCUUGGCUGCAUGGGAACGCAAUUUGAUCUCGUUGUUGCAUGUGCCAUCGGUCCCUUCUCGAGGGUAACUGGCUUCAGUCGUGAGGCCUCCAUUCUUGAUGAUAAAUUUAAAGGCAUCGUCCAUCUCGCCCCCGUUGCAACGUCAUAGCCCACGAGCUCUUCUUCUGAUAACGAAAUAAGCUUAUAUACCGGUGCUGAUUUUGGCGACUCCUUCCAUUGCAGCCACCGCAGAGAAUGCGCAGCAGGACCCUAUUUGAUGCAUUGAAUCACAUGUCAAGUUUGCUCUCAAAACAAAAGAAAGAAUUCAGGGAUGCAGUGACUUUGUGUCAGCCCAAAUAGAAUAGCCUUACGGCAACCGAUAGGGGUAGUGCAAUGUGCGUAGGAGUUAAAGGUGGACUGCGCUAAUUUACUUCCCACAUUGGCCUUGAUCCUUGAUGGGAGCGAACUGCACCCAUGGUCCUCCAGUCCAUCCUGACAGGAACCGCGGUUACUUUCUCACACAUGAAGCUCUUCACUGCCUUCCUCGAGCUUGCUUGGGAUGGCCUAAAUCCAGUGUACAUGGCCUUGAACUCCUCAUUGGCGAGGUCUGUAAACUGGUUGAUGCGUAUCUUGUACUUGUGGCUCCCAGCAUUGAAUGAUUCAACCCAGACAUCCACUGCUCGUGCUUCUCCCUCAUCGAUGUGUCGACAAGUGUACGAGAUGCUGCAUGAGAAGCCCAAAUGGUAAUCUGCAACUGGGCAGACCAUAUGUAAUUGUUUAUUGAGAAAGCCACAGAGCUAAAUGUUGCGUGGAUGGUGCAAUGGGGAUAUCAUUAAAAAUACUAAGUUUUACACACAACUCUGGGUUGGGUUUGGCUUAUACAGAGGAGCAGGAGGAGGAGGAGGAGGCGGAGGAUCUACUGAGCCUUCCCCAAAAUUGAGGUGACAGAGAUCAAGCCUAUCAUUUUCUUUUUAUCUUUAUCUAAUUGUUGGAGCUUACCUUCAGCUAGUUGAAGAUGCUUGUUGGAGUUUAUCUUCAUCUAGUUGAAGAAGCCUAUCUUUUAAUUAGAUGCUUAUUCUUUGGUUGAUCUUAUCACUUGUGAAGCAAAUGCUAUGCUUGGGAAGUUUAGAGUUUGCGCCUAGCGUUUGCUUUGAGCUACUACAACAAAAGUGGCUUAGACUCGUGGGACUUUCUGCGAUGCUGCUUGUGUUGGGGCCAUUAAGUUCGAAUUAGUGAGCCAGUUACAGAGUUUGGUGUAAAAUUAGCAGCCGUACUAAAAUUUGUAAGGCCUCCGUAUUUAAUGCAGGAAGAAACUCUGAGAAGUCCACAACGACAAGAACAACGACUAGGAAUCCCUAGAUCCAAAGCCAAUGAGCAAGCUAAGCUGCGAUUUAUGCUGAUAUGAAUAGGAAGAUCAGAAUGAAGACUGUUGCCCAACUUAUAUACUACAUCGACAAUUAUAUAUAUAUAUAUAUGUAUCCAGACUUCCAUUUUGAGGCCCAAAGGCACGUUUUUACCUUGCUGUAAUUUUGAACACCGUAGGUGUCAGCAAGAUUGAAGCCAUGCACAUAGACAAGCAUAAGAAGCACACAUAUACAUAUCCAUCAUAAGGUGUUACAUCCACCCCCUUAAGCAGUUGGGUAAGAAGCUUCCAUGGCAAUGCCGCAGAGCCCCUCCUUGGCAUCCACGUCCCUCUCCAUCCUGAUGUAUCCAUUCUCGCCCCAAGAUGAACCCCACGAGUUCUUCACCAGCCAAUACUUAGUCCCAUCACUCGUCUUGUCGUAACCAACAGCAGUGACACCAUGAUCCAAUUCGGUCCCACAGUCCCCCGUGAACACGCCGCUCGAGUACAACUGGAAAGCAGAGCCGCCGGCAUCGAUGGCGACCGACACCGGCUGGUUCGCCACCGCCUUCAGGAGCGCCGCCUCGCUGUUGGCCGGCACGUCCUCGUAGCCGCCGAUGGUGGCCGCAUGGGAAUGCGAUUUCCCGGCGUUGCACGUGCCGUCAGCGGCCUCGUAGGGGUAAUUGGCUUCGGUCGUGAGGCCUCCAUUCUUGAUGAUGAAUUUGAAAGCAUCGUCCAUGAGACCCCCACCGCAUCCUUGAUCCUCGCCUUUGGUGUCGCAGUCGACGAGCUCUUGCUCCGAUAGAGAGAUGAGCUUCCCGGUGCUGAGUUUGGUGAUUCCCUCCAUCGCGGCCACAGCAGAGAAGGCCCAGCAGCAUCCUGGCCGGUGCAUGCAUCGGAUGUUGGAUUAUUGUUUGUAAACCAAAUGGAAGACCGGCAGUAAGCAUGCAUUUUGUAACAGUUGAAAUGAAUUGGGUACUUACCGCAUUGGCCUUGGUCCUUGAUGGGAGUAACUGCACCCUUGGCCCUCCAGUCCAUGCUGACGGGCACUGCGGUGGCGUUCUCAUACUUGAAGCUCUUCGUCGCCAUCCCCGAGCUCGCCUNNNNNNNNNNNNNNNNNNNGGUGUGCACGGCCCUGAACUCUUCAUUGGUGAGGUCCGCAAACUGAUUGGCCCCGAGCUUGAACUUAUGGUUCCCAGCGUUGAAUGAUUCGAUCAAUUCGACGUUGGCUUGGAAAAUUUUGAAGCGGCGCUCCUUCUCGGCCGCGUCUUUGUACACGCGCCCGUACAGAGCCAUCCAUUGCUCGUGCUUCUCCUUCAUCGAUACGUCGGUGAGCGUGCGGGAUGAUGCCGCGUGAGAAGCCCAGAGGGCGAUCACUGCCAAGGCUGCCAACAGGCAUUUGUUUCUUGGGAAAGCCAUGGAGCUAAAGGUGGAGAAUGUGAGAGCUUGGUCCACUGAUCAGCCCGCACUGGAUAUUGGGCCUGUGGGCCGACCGGAAGAGGCCAACCCAGCUCCGAUGAAUCGGGAGAGGAACUCUAAUUGGGAGUCUCCCUCCUCUCCAUUUUCGAUCGCGAUCGCAAUCGGAAGGGAUGAAUCCCAAACCCAAUCAAACAC